Molecule: ribosomal RNA, 255 nt
Filed under: uncultured bacterium
Lineage: Bacteria
Description: partial 16S ribosomal RNA
Rfam family: Bacterial small subunit ribosomal RNA
Source: RNAcentral
UACGUAGGGUGCAAGCAUUAUCCGGAGUGACUGGGCGUAAAGAGUUGCGUAGGUGGUUAGUAAAGCGAAUAGUGAAACCUGGUGGCUCAACCAUACAGACUAUUAUUCGAACUCACUAACUCGAGAGUGGUAGAGGUAACUGGAAUUUCUAGUGUAGGAGUGAAAUCCGUAGAUAUUAGAAGGAACACCAAUGGCGUAGGCAGGUUACUGGACCAUUUCUGACACUGAGGCACGAAAGCGUGGGGAGCGAACCGG